This 250-nucleotide ribosomal RNA is filed under the name uncultured bacterium. RNAcentral describes it as "partial 16S ribosomal RNA". It matches the Rfam family "Bacterial small subunit ribosomal RNA", at positions 524 to 773 of the family's 1533-position model. The record is from RNAcentral.
GACGGAGGGUGCUAGCGUUGUUCGGAUUUACUGGGCGUAAAGGGCGCGUAGGCGGCCUGGUCAGUCGGGUGUGAAAGCCCGGGGCUCAACCCCGGAACGGCACCCGAGACGGCCAGGCUGGAGACCGGGAGAGGAGGGUGGAAUAGCCAGUGUAGAGGUGAAAUUCGUAGAUAUUGGCUGGAACACCGGUGGCGAAAGCGGCUCUCUGGCCCGGUUCUGACGCUGAGGCGCGAAAGCGUGGGGAGCAAAC